UUACGGCAAUAUCAGGUUGACACACCGGUUCCCGUAUGACCACCGGAGUUAAUCAAGGUUGAGCCUGAUCGGUACCUAGAUGGAUGACAACUUGGUAAUACCAGGUUCUGUAA
Molecule: non-coding RNA, 113 nt
Organism: Acanthosepion pharaonis
Lineage: Eukaryota; Metazoa; Mollusca; Cephalopoda; Sepiida; Sepiidae
Source: the annotation of a GenBank genome assembly